RNAcentral lists this long non-coding RNA (1050 nucleotides) under Parus major (Great Tit). Its description in RNAcentral is "lncRNA (ENSPMJG00000007124.1)". Lineage: Eukaryota; Metazoa; Chordata; Aves; Passeriformes; Paridae. The record is from RNAcentral.
UGGUUUUGUAAAAUCUCUUUCCGUCCCUGCCCUGCCCGGGAGAGGCAGAACCCGAGGGAGCGGGCUGUCGGAGCGCAGCCCGGGCUGGGGCCGGCCCAGCCGAGAGGAGCCGCACCGGGGCUCUCCGGCCGCGAGAAGGGGCGCAGCGGCUCGGCCUCGGCAGCGCCCGGCAAGACGUUCCUCGGCUUGUUCUGCUUUCAAAGCAGGGCAGCUAGCCCGAGCUCUGCGACCCCUGCGGCUGCCGCACUCCGUGCUGGAGCGUCGGAGUUUUCCCGACACAUUUUUGUUCGUCUUAUUCGGUCGAACGAGAUCCAUGCAAAAAUUGAGGAAACAUUAUCCCGGAGAGAACGCGUGAUUAGGGCUGUGGCUGGAAUUUCAUUGCCGGCUGUGAGCAGCCUAGCCCAGGCUCACCGGCUGUGUGGCCGCAGCCUGAGGUGGGCACCGCAGGGACCGCCGUCUCUCGGCUCCCACCUGGGGUGGGGGUUGAGUCCUGCCCGUCCCCGGACUCGGCGGUCAGCACCGGGCGUGCUCCGCCGCCAGCACCUGCCGGCGCCCGGCUUGCGCAGGAUGCGCAUCCCGGCGGGGCUCCGGCAGCGCCUCGGCCCCGGCUCUCGGUGGCCGCGGUCAGCUGUUCGCCAUUUAUCCCAGUUGGAUAAAUCCGAUGAGGCCUGGCGGGAGCGGGGGGCCAGUGGACCGAGACGGCGAGGUGGGCGGCAGAGAUCCGGCCGAUCCUUCUGUCAGGCAACGAAAUCUUGGCCGCUCAGCGGGACUGGUUUAAAAUUCAGCCGUGAGGUGGAGGCAGGUGUUCGCAUCGCUCCCUGCGAGAUGGCCGGUGGCGGGCGGAGGGCGAGGGACUGCGGAUUUGUAGCUGCAAAUCAUUCACGCCGGCUUUGCCCGCUCCACAAAAUCACACGGGCAUCUACCUCUUCCCAAGCGCUGUUCCCUACCCUUUUGGGGCUAAAGGCUAGGGGAUUUGCACUGAGAGAAAGAGCCAAACAGAGCUGGCACCCGCUUCAAUUAAAAAUCUGCCUUCCCGGUGGGAGAUGCUGA